Molecule: long non-coding RNA, 354 nt
Filed under: Equus caballus (horse)
Lineage: Eukaryota; Metazoa; Chordata; Mammalia; Perissodactyla; Equidae
Description: lncRNA (ENSECAG00000049197.1)
Source: RNAcentral
GUGGGGCUAAUAGUUGUAUCUGUUCUACGGGGUUGUUGAAAAGAUAAAGUGAAAUCAGCCAUCCGGUUCUUUCCUCCUGGGCCAGGCACAUAGUAAGGACUCCCCACAUAGCAGCUGGCAUUGCUUCUCUCUCCCGCUCCCUGCCUCACAGCUCUCAAUUUUCUGACGUGGAGUGAUCAACGAUUGUGGCAGGCAGUGCUAGAGCAGGGUCAUCUUCUGUAAACACAGCCAGCAAAUUAGCAUCAUUCAACAGGUGUGUGUCUCUGUUUGCUUACUCUUGUUUGGAUGGGCCACGGGUAGGUGCCUGCUAUUUCUGAAGGUUUGUCACUUCUAAGGCCAAUGUAGAGAAGCCUG